RNAcentral lists this transfer RNA (67 nucleotides) under Apocrypta bakeri. Its description in RNAcentral is "tRNA-Gln". Lineage: Eukaryota; Metazoa; Arthropoda; Insecta; Hymenoptera; Pteromalidae. The record is from RNAcentral.
UAUAUAUUAGUGUAUUUUGCACCAAAAUUUUUGAAGUUUUUAGAAAUAAAUUAUUUAUUAUAUAUAU